This 523-nucleotide long non-coding RNA is filed under the name Mus caroli (Ryukyu mouse). RNAcentral's name for it is "predicted gene 43269 (MGP_CAROLIEiJ_G0006184.1)". The record is from RNAcentral. Lineage: Eukaryota; Metazoa; Chordata; Mammalia; Rodentia; Muridae.
UCAGUAAGCAGCACUCCUCCAUGGCUUUUGCCUCAGCUCCUGCCUCCAGGUUCUUGCCCUGCUUGAGUUCCUGUUCUGACUUCCUUCAGUGAUGAACCAUGACGUGGAAUUGUGAGCCAAAUAAACCAAGUUGCUUUUGGUCAUGGCAUUUCAUCCCAGCAAUGGUAACCUUAACAAAGACAGGACCCAUCGUCCCAGGUGGAUUUUCUUCUCCUUGUGUUAAAUCUAUCCAGCACACUGGGAGUUAGCUGGAGCCAUCUGGCUCAGCACCAGCCUCUGCAGAGCCUGAUCUGGCACGGCCCACCUCACGAAGGACUCAAUGAGUAUUUCCAUUCAGCCUUCCCACAGCAGUGCCAGCCAGUUUGCAGAUGUUGUCAUUGAAUGGGUUCCCGGUCCCUGUGAUUUGAAGCAGCAGUUUCAUCAAGCUGCUACAGAAAGACUUUUUUUUUUUUUAAAGCUAACAAAACUAAACCCAUGGCUGUUCUUGAAGUGGACUCAUUUGGAAAUAAAAUCUCUCCACAAA